Cavia porcellus (domestic guinea pig) is the source of this 8568-nucleotide long non-coding RNA. RefSeq lists it as uncharacterized. The transcript is spliced from 2 exons. The record is from RefSeq and is a predicted model, not a curated record. Lineage: Eukaryota; Metazoa; Chordata; Mammalia; Rodentia; Caviidae.
UGACUCAGAUAGAAACUGUGUCUUCCUUGUUUUUCUCCCACCCUCCAUACUUGUUGAAGUAACAGUCCUUACACUUUACUUGCCUUCUGUAGCAGGAACUUAAAUGUAAAUAUAGUUAUAUCAGUAUUUGACGUGAGUCACAGCCUGAGAGAUCAAUAUGAAUGUCCUGUAAAGAUUCUAGUUUUUUUUUUUCCUUAAUGCUGUUGAGUAAAUUGAGAUUCUUCCUCUGUGAUAGAGGGUAUGUUAGUAUUAAGUUUCCAGAUCUGCUGUUUGUUAGCAGGGCCAGAGUGGAAGUAACUUUCGUGGUUUGGGGCGUUUCCUGUGUGUUCUUUCUUGAGUAGUAGGCAUAAAUGACUGACAGUAAAGAGCAAUUAAUAAUUUUCCAAGUAAAAUAUUUUCGUAACCCACUCUUUAUGUGCAUCAAGUGAUUUCCCUCUCAGGAAUGUGGUCAGUUAAAAAAUAAAGUUACACUUCUCUGAAUUCUGCAAGGGCUUUGGAAAAUCUGUAUUGUUAGAUCUUAAAAUAUAUGGAAAACGUACAUUGUUUAGUGCAGUUUGUUGCUUACUAAAUGGGUGCUGCUGCUGCCAUCCAGCUGAGUGUCCCAGGUGAGAGAACACUUGCUCCCAUCAGUGUCUGUAUGUUUUUGUUGUUUCUUUUUUUUGGUUCCGGGGACUGAACUCACAACCUCAUGCUUACCAGGCAGGUGCUUCUGCCACUGAACUAAAUCUCCAGCCUCUUGUUUUUGUUUUCUUUUGUGAGGCAGGCGAGUGCUGUGUCUAAAGAAGUGGAGUUCCUCGCCCAUAUGUAUCUCGAUUGGCAGUUUCCAUUUGAAGAUUUUGUUUUUCCUCCUACUGUGAAUGAGAAUGUGCUUCAGAUUUCAGUGAAGACUUCAAGUCUUCAGGCUGCCUUAGUUGGACAAAGAAGCUCACAGCCUCACACCCACCAAGUCUAGAAGAGCAGCAGAAUUGAUUUCAAAAUCAAGAGAGAGCAAAAAAUCAGAAGAGUGCACUCAAGCAUUGUAAGAAAAGUCUCAUCUGGCCUGGACUCCUUCCACUGUGUUCCGCCUAUUCGUGUGGCUUCUAUUUUUGAAUUACGUAUGAGAAGGGAUGCCAUGUUUUGAUGCUUUGAAGCUCUGAAUGUCUUAAUCCAGUGCUCCCUGGACAUCUUUAUGUUUACUAGGGCUCCUUAUUUGUUUCUGUAGUGUGGCCAGGUCUAAAGUAAUGUUCUGGGCUUAAAUAAAUUCUCAAAGAGCUCCAUGGAAACCAGUGCUGUUUAAAAUACAGUGUUGCUGUUAUUGCCCAAACUACAAGAACUGUCUUUGUAUUGGAGAGAGCCAGGAUUCCUAAAGGGUAUGAGGUCACCCACAGUCAGAACCCGAAGGGACCAAGCCCUCGGUUCAAAAUCAGUGCCCUACUGACUCCUCCCACUGUGGAAGCAGGCGUUGUGCUCCUGGGCUCUGGAAGGAAACUGAGUCCUCUUGCAGAGCACGUGUUUCUCUUGGGGUGCUGCCACCAGUGGAUGAGUCGGCCUCGUCUCUGAAUUUACCCUUGGAAGCAUCCCUAGUCACAGGUCAGUGUCAUUCAGGUAGCCAGUCGUGGGUUCCUUCAAACAGCAAAUCUGGUAUUUUGUGUUUCCACCCAGCUUCCAAGAUUCAAAAAUUCAAAACCUCUAAAACACAACGCUGCUCCUGGAGGUGCCAGGAUGAUGUUGUAGGUGUGUUCUAAAGGAGAGGGCAGUAUCUUGAGGUGGGUUAAGGCCAACGUAUCCUUUCCUGUAAUAAAACAUUUCAAAAUUUAAGUAACAACUUUACCUUUGAUCAGACCUCAUAGAGCUGUAUGUCCUCAGAAUUCUCUUACUAGUUUGCUUUGGAAUUUUAGAAAAAUCAUAGUCUCUGAGAGAAACCAUGAGAAUCAACAGUUUCCUUCCCUUUUCUGAGCAUGCUGGUAUUUCAUCUUGUGAUGAUGCUGGCCAGUUGUGUUGGCGACAUGUUUGAAAUGCUCGACAUUGACAGGGUACUGAGGUGCUGCCACUGCGUUCCUCGUUGCCGGUGAUGCCCCUGCUGAGAUUCACUUAAUGCCUGAGGUUUCCUGAUUGUGGCUUAAAUUCCAUGAUAAACAACUUUCUAAAUGUAUUUCAGGUUUAGUUUUUGGGUUUGGUUAUUUAUGUAGAAAACACUUGAUACUCAAUUUUUCUCUUAGAGAACUCACUUUCGUCUUUUGCUAUCUUUUAAGUCUUUUCUCAUUGUACUUCAUUUUAUUUUUAUAGUGCCUUUGAAAAUAUUAUUUUUAUUAAGUAGAUAUUACUGGUGACUGGCAAAGAACAGCCCAAAGGCCAAAUCAUACGUUCUUAUAAAUAACCGUGCCUAUUUAAUGGUUGUAGCCGAUUUCACAGUUUCACAUUGGCAGAGUUAGCGGUGAGACACUAUAGCAAAGCCUUAAAAAUUAACCCUCCAACCAUUUACAAAUUCAUCAAUCCCUAAAUUAUACUGUACAACUGAUCAUGCAGAUGGGGCAGCAGUAGACCAAAUGAGUUACCUCAGCUCUUACUGUCAACAAUACCCUUCUCUGUCUCCAGCUUUCUCCCUCCUCCUAGAAGCAAGGACAGUUAGGCCAAAGUGGAAGGAACUUGACUGGUGUGAAUCUCCUGGAUUUCUUUUAAGAACUUUAUACUUCUAUUGCAAAAUUCUCUGUUUUCUCCCCAUACAUAUUUUAAGCCUAACACAUAAGCGCUUCCUGUAAUAACACUCCAAAUCUAAACCAGCCCUUAAAGUAUUUUUCCCCCCUGGAGGAUUCAUGUUGCUGUGACAAUUUAAUAGCAUUUGUAGCCUUUGAGUUGCAAAAAUGAGGAAAUAAAGACUUGGGCCAUAAGACUUACAGCUUAUCGUUUGAGAAUGUAGACUCAGGCGUAUGGGGUUCUACCAUAAAACAUUAGAGCAUUCCGCUGUCAGAAGCAGAGAAAGCACACCCACGUGCCCAGGGGAUGUGUUCCACCCCAGCUGCUUAGGACCUGCUGAAGGAGCAGUGUUUUCAAGCAUGAUCCCUGACAUGGAGAAGAGUAAUGUGACAAAUGAACAGGUGUUCCAAGGUGGCAAUUUGAAUAGAAGCUAUAAAGUUUUAGCUUCACCCGAGGGUAUUACUGCAAAUUAGUUAAGCAAGUAGUUAUUGAUGGCUUAAAUUAAGCAGCACAUUGAAGAGGGCACAUUUCCUUUCCCAGUGGAGUGCUAUUAGGAAGCCUUAACCUACUUUGACAUUUCUUUCUGAUCAAAUCUUCCCUGUUUCGUUCAAUUCAGAGUGAUUCAUGCUUUUAAAAAUAGUUUUAGAAAAUAGGCCAUGAGUUAGAUAAUUAACAUUAGAGUUCUUUUUCAGUAAUGAUUUCCUAGACGCUGGUCAUUGGAGUAAUCUGUCAUCAUGUGAUGGUGUUAGGGGAUUUGGGGUUUUGUUUUUUUCUUCUGAAGUAAAGGAUUCAGUACUUGGAGGAGCUUCUAGAGCAGCUGAAAGGUCUGAGAUAUUUGAAUAUAUCUGGACUUUUGACAGCAGGAAACAGCUGCUUUCACGCAUGUGGAAGAUUCCUGUGAUUAAAAUUCAGAGAUCUAGAACAUGCUACUGUGGAGCUGACAGAAUAGAAAUCUUGUACCCUAUUGCGUCAGACAGCUUUCAUUGCUGUGAUGAAUACCGGAGAACAUCAUCCUUGAAGAGGACAGCUUUACUUUAGCGCAUAGUUCCGAGGGUCCAGUCCAUGGUUUCUUGACUAUAUUUUCCUAGGCCUGGGCUAGAGCAGAAUAUCGUGAUGGGAGCAUGAGAUAGAGCUGAGUGUCACUUUGUGGCAGCCACGAAGCAGAAAGGAAAGCAAAAGGGCCAGGCUUCCAAUACACCCUUGGAGGGCUUGCCCUCUGUGAGCUGCGCCUCCAGCUGGGCUCUAAGGCUUAGUCUGCAGUGCCUCCCCCUAGUGCCUUUGUGGGGCAUUGCAGGGCCAGACUGUAAUGUCUGCCGUUACUGGAAGGUGAGCAGAUUCUGUUUGUCCAGCUGUGAUGGCUGGGCACCUACGACUUUAGAUUGGGGGCUCCUUUGCAUUUUUCCUCACAUUAAUGCUGUCAGUACUGAAAUACAAGGCAGCCCUUCCAGAGGCACUAAUGGUUACUUUACGUUAGAUGGAUUAGUUGUAGUUAACAUGACUUUUCUUUUUCUUAGUGAAAAUUUACUUGGGAGACUUUCAGUUGUACUUUAAGUCCUACAGUUACAGUACUAGUUCAUAGAUGGGAGGUCCUCAUAUUCAGAGUAUAUAUAUUUGUGCAUCUGUGUGUGCGUGUGUGUGUGUGUGUGUGUGUGUGUGUGUGUGAUAUUGGGAUUGUUCCCCCAGCCGUUUUUAUUUUUGAGACAAGAUGAGUUGCCCAGUAUGGACCGGAAUUUGCAAUUCUCCUCUAUCACCUCCUAGAGUACUGGGUUUACAGGCGUGUAUCUCUGUGCCCAGCUAGGAUACAUGUAUUUUCAUGUGGCUUCCAUCUGUUCAACUCAGACCCACAUCACUGGAGCCGAAUGAGAGUGGCUUUCUUGUGAACCUGUAUAUAAGGAUAGUCCUAAACAGAAUUCAAGGGCAGGACCAUGUUCUACCAUUCAUUCAGCAAACAUGUAGUCUCAAAUCUGCACCUGCUUCUGCCUAAGCCAGGAAUGGCAAACCUGUUACAGCUUUCAUUGGUAACGAACAACGUGCUGCGGCACGGGUGCCGUAAGUUUACCACUACCUAUCUAAGCCAUUCUUAAUUAGACGUAACUGCUAGUCAUCCUGCCACUUUAAAGUCUUUUAGCUCAACGGCAUAAACGCCUGCCUGGCAAGUGCGAGGUCAUGAGUUCAUUCCCUGGUACCACACAAAAAAAUUAAAAAAUAAAAAUCAUCUGUGUCCUUCUGAGGAUAUGGUACAUUGGUCUGCAUGUUAUAUGAACCAACUGACACAGAGUAGUUCUCAGACACUUUACAUUUCUCACUACUUUUGUAACAAUGUCUCAACCUAUUACAUAAAAUGUCUCUUUUCAUAAUUUAUUAAUUUUGCAGCCUUUAUGCAGAAAUACUGAGGUAUCCAUUUAAGCACUUUGGGUAAAAGGAUGAAUUUUUGUGGUACUAUAAACUUAAGUCAGAACACCCUGAGAAAAUCCCUUUAUUUCUUAGGUUAUUUCUUCAUUUGGAAAUAAGACCUUUCAGCCAAAUCCGCUUUUGUGACUCCCAUGGAUUUUUGCAAAUAUUGAUAAAAUGACCAGUCUCGCAGUUACUUUCAAAGCAUGAAAUAUUCUUCUUGAGCUUUCUAUUCCCCUUCCUUGCAGUGUUCCUAUAGGGUUAAAUAUAUGUUCUUUAUUAUUAAUUUUAUUUUUAACACAAAGCCUUUGAGAAAGAAGGCGAAUCAUAGGAGAUUGUUUCCUGCCCUCUUGGGAGAGUGGAGUAACUGAGUCCUGAAGGAGAGUGCCUGGGGGCCCCUGAGGGGUGGCUGAGGCUGGGGCCAGGGCAGGAUGGGGUGUCCUUCUCUUCCUUCUCUGUCGUCCUGAGGAUCCAGGCUCCUUUUGGGGUUGCAGGUCUCCCCAGGCCACUGUAGCCUCUCCAUACGGCAUCGCCUGUCAGCCAUCUUCCCUGCGCAGACCAACCCUGUCAUUUGAAAUUUGUUGGAGCUGUUGCUUUAUAUAAAGGUGAGCAAAGUAACCUUCUGGUUAAUUUGCAUGGAUUGAUUCACCAAAUCAGAAAGGGACAGGUCAUUGCAGUAACACAGUAAAGAGCUCUACAUUUCUGAGGUUAUACUCCAUCUCUUUUCAUCUUAACACCAAUUUCAUAUGCCAGGUAAUAAUAUUUCCACUUUGCAGAUGAACAAAUGAGCUUGUAGAAGGGAUUUGCCCAGCUCAUAACUUGGAAAGACAGUCUCAGGGACUGAUCUAAUCACAUUUGGUUUCCAUCACACUGUACUACUUCUUUGUAGGCGCAGCGUCCAGCAGAGACAGGCCAUUUUUAAGUUUAAGAACACAAGAUAGAGCAAAUUAUAGCUAACAUGGAUGUAACUUUAAACAUCUCUUGAGUCUAGUUAUGCAUGCAUUCAGAUCUGCUCAUCUGACCUACUUUCAUGAGGCCAUGCAAAGAUAUCUGUAGUUUCUUGAGGCUUGUACUUCUCGUAGUUACUGUCUUUCUUCUAUAGGAAGGUUUCUUCUUCUGUGGGCUGCUGUGUUACCUGAGUUUUUCUAAUAUUAAGGCCAGGAAAUACAUCUUCACGGUGUAAAUAAGUGCCGGGUUUUCCCGGGCCACUGCACCAGCCAUCUGGUUAAGCCUGGUAGCCAGGCUAACCCCAUCUGACAUCCAGGUUUACACCAUGAUGUAUCUGUUACACCAUAUUUUCAAGGGCCAGUAGGAGGGUUGGCUUAAGUAAUAAGAGGAUUCCUUAUCUAACACAUCUGACUAGGAUACAUCAGGACAGCUUUCUGGCUUGCUAACGCAUCCGCACACCACUGCCGUCUUGAGAGUCAGAGUCGGUCUUUGCUGUCCUCGGCUUGGUGGCUGUCUCCCAUGUUCUCAGAUGGCUAUGAGAAUUGCAGACAGGUAUGUCUUGAAAGAAUGAGUCUGCAGAAUGAAUGCUCACUUUUGCUUUUUUUUUUUUUUUUUUUUUUAGGAGCCAAAAAACAUUUCCCAGAAUCCUCUGCUAGAUCUUGAAUUCCACAAUUCAAGAUUAUGUCACCAGGGCCAGGGAUUUAGCUUGGCAGCAUAAGCCCCUGCCUGGCAAGCAUGAGGCCGCAAGUUCAAUCCCUAGUACAAAAAAAAAAAUUACAUCAUCUAUCUGUCUAAAUCUAUCAGUAGUAAAGCUAAUGGUGUCACUAGGGAUGCAGAGAAAUUAAUAUUUAACUUAGUACCAUGAGAGGAUGGUAGAACUCCAAACAAUACCAAGUAUCUUCGAGUAGGAAAAUGGGAUAGAUACAACCUGCCAGCCUUUUACUGUUGGCUUCAGACAUUUUUAGAGAUUUACAUUUAUGUGCACACAUGCUUAUCCUAGAGAACAUUGGCUUAUUUCCCCCAAGUAGCUAUUAUUUGGGCCAUGAUUAAUCAGAGAGCUGAAUUUCCAAUCAAGACAAUACUAUCCUUUGAGUCCGUCAGUGUGAGUCAAACACAUGGUAAGUGAAAUGUAAAAUAAGACUAAGCAUUGACUAAAAAAUAAGCAUACCAUUUGGAGCAGAAAUGUAAGCUUUUUAUGAUAGUAUAGAAGACCAAAUACCUAUAAGUAGUUGUUUUAUCAGGCACCUAGAAAUAUUAGGUGAAAUACAACAUUCUUGAGUUGCUGAGCUCAAAAGGAUGUAAGAGAAUUCCUUUAAGAGAACUGAAGUUAAGGGGAAAUUGAGUCUCAGUAAACAUUGAUUGCAGCCCAGGGUGAUGAUGGAGCAUUUGCCUCCUCCCCUUCCCAAGGCUUGGGAGUUCACACUUAGGAGAUGAGUGAUGGAGCCUUGUGAGAUUCCGAGUAAAAAGCUUAGGGUCCCAUAGAGAGUCCCGUGAAUAAGGAAAAGCACUCCCACUUGCAUGGGGAACUGCAGAGUUUGUAAGUGCAAAAUUUGGCCUGGAUUUUGAAUGAAGAUAAAGCUCUCCGCUGAGAAUGUGUAACCAGUGCCCUCUGCAGUAAGUUUGUUUAUGGAAUCCAUACCUGUGCUGACCAAGAGCUUUGAAGCAAACACAUUAGCACUAAAGCAUCCACAGACUGGGGUGCUAUAGGGUACCUGGCAGUGGCCAUACUGGAGCUGCUUGUAGGGGAUCGGGUGUCAGCCAAGGCUGUGUGGCUCUUCCAAAGGUCCCCUCGAACUGAGGAUGAGAAAACAACCGUCGUGAGCAGAAGACAGCAGACUCAAAACUGUCAGGCUGCAAUAAAUUAAGGAUUAACAAAAAUAUUACACAGUUAAGCAGGAUUAAAAGAUGUUACUUUAUAAAAGAAACACAUAAGAAAAAUUUUUCAUAAAUAAAAAAUAUUGAAAUAAGCUAAUGGGCAGCCGCAAAUUAAGUUAAACAGUUGAUGUAGAAAUUUAUGAACUGGGAAAUAGAACUGAUCUAACAAAUUUUCUACAAAGCAGCAUAGACAGAUGGAAAAUAUGAUUGGAAUUUAAUAACAUGAAAGGCAAAUGAGAAUAUCCAACAUAAUCUAAUCCAAGUCUUAGAAGAAUAGAACAUGUGGCCUGUAUGUUCCAAAAUUUAUGAAAGAUAAAAUUUGAUAAGUGCAGGAAACAAAGUGACCCCAAAACAAGAUAAAUAAAAGUAAAUUGAAACCAGAGAGAGGACAUUGUGUUGGGCGCAGGUGCUCAACAUACCAUACCCCACCCGGGACUAAGGACCAUGCCAGCUUCCGCAAUGCGCUACGUCCCUCUUUAAAUUAGCCAACCCGUGUGCACCUCGUGCUCACUCCGUAUUCGCCCCGUGCUGACUCUGUGGCAACCCCUGAUUGGCCACAGCUGGAUAUAGUAGCCAGAGCCUGCGUCCCAUUCCCGCCCUGCUUCCUCGUGGCAGCCUGUGAUUGGUCACGGCCAAAUAUAUAAACCAGAGCCCACGUAAAUAAAGCAGCAGUUAACUGUC